CUGCAGUCUACACGGACGGGCACACGAGCAGAGGUGUCAAAAUAUCAUUCCAUCGUAUUAUUCUUCGUAAAAAAUAAUAAUACAGUAAUAAUGCAGUUAUAACAUCAUGAAAUAAAAAUGAAAACGAGCUGAGCAUUUUUUUUUGGCCACACUUUCUCCUUCAGUGCAUGUGCUGCUCAUGCCUCGGCCACCUGGGGGCAGUAUAAGACUCAUUCCAAUAUAUUGUACAACACUCUAAGCUCCUCUUUUGGAUUCUCACGAUGGCAGUAAUCGUCAUUCUUUGCAGAGGAUAAAGAAUAUGUGCCUCCCUGUCGUGGGGGCCCACUUACUGGCUGGCGGGACGGUCCCGGCGGGUGCCUCGGUGGUCUCUGGUGACGAGAGAAAGGAAAGUCACAGUGCAAUGUGUUGAUCAAUAAGAGGAUCUUAUUCUUCUUUUCGUGAAACGUUACCGAUCUUCUGGGCUUGGACGACACCUGUGAGUGCUGUGGAACACACACACACACACACACACAAAAAAAAGAGGUAAGUUUUAUUUAUUGAUCGGGAAAAAAACCCAAAAACAAACACGAGAGCGACCGGAGCAUCAUGAAGCGAGCUGAUUUGUGCGUUCUGUUUGGCAGCGUUACCGUGGAGACCGCAGAGGAGCAGGAACACUGAAAGGUUGCCCAUCGCAAUGGUUGAGCUUGACAAACGAGGAAAGAGGAAAAGGAUUAUCUACAAUCGUGAGCAUGCAUAUCACACACAAGCCAGAAACAAGCUUCGAGGGGAAGCAGCCAGUCAGGAGGCAGUAGGUGAGGAUCCCCAGAGCCCAGCUAUCGAUGCAGGGCUCCACCCUGAUCCAAAGAGGCUCCUUCUCCUCCUUCUCCUCUGUGACAUCACACUCCGUAGCCUUCUCCUGCUCCUUGACGGGUUCCAC
Molecule: long non-coding RNA, 916 nt
Organism: Hippocampus zosterae (dwarf seahorse)
Lineage: Eukaryota; Metazoa; Chordata; Actinopteri; Syngnathiformes; Syngnathidae
Exons: 4
Source: RefSeq, a predicted model, not a curated record